GCCUCGGUAGUGUAAUGGAUCAGCACAGCAGACUAGAUAUCUGUAAGUGUGGGUUCGUCAGUCUCGCCUGAGGUU
Molecule: transfer RNA, 75 nt
Filed under: Dictyocaulus viviparus (bovine lungworm)
Lineage: Eukaryota; Metazoa; Nematoda; Chromadorea; Rhabditida; Metastrongylidae
Rfam family: tRNA
About the family: Transfer RNA (tRNA) molecules are approximately 80 nucleotides in length. Their secondary structure includes four short double-helical elements and three loops (D, anti-codon, and T loops).
Source: Rfam by way of RNAcentral